Molecule: ribosomal RNA, 253 nt
Filed under: uncultured bacterium
Lineage: Bacteria
Description: partial 16S ribosomal RNA
Rfam family: Bacterial small subunit ribosomal RNA
Source: RNAcentral
GACGGGGGGUGCAAGCGGUAUCCGGAAUCACUGGGCGUAAAGCGUCUGUAGGUGGUGAUGCAAGUCACUGGUGCAAAACUCUGGCUCAACCGGAGGAAAGCCAGUGAAACUGCAUGACUAGAGUGUGGGAGAGGUAGAAGGAAUUCCCUGAGUAGCGGUGAAAUGCGUAGAUACAGGGAAGAACACCGGAGGCGAAAGCGUUCUACUGGAACACAACUGACACUGAGAGACGAAAGCUAGUGGAGCGAAUGGG